RNAcentral lists this ribosomal RNA (429 nucleotides) under Gemmatimonadota bacterium. RNAcentral's name for it is "Gemmatimonadetes bacterium partial 16S ribosomal RNA". It matches the Rfam family "Bacterial small subunit ribosomal RNA", at positions 355 to 776 of the family's 1533-position model. Lineage: Bacteria; Pseudomonadati; Gemmatimonadota. The record is from RNAcentral.
UAGGGAAUCUUCGGCAAUGGACGAAAGUCUGACCGAGCAACGCCGCGUGAGGGAAGAAGGUUUUCGGAUCGUAAAACUCUGUUGUUAGAGAAGAACAAGGACGGUAGUAACUGAACGUCCCCUGACGGAAUCUAACCAGAAAGCCACGGCUAACUACGUGCCAGCAGCCGCGGUAAUACGUAGGUGGCAAGCGUUGUCCGGAUUUAUUGGGCGUAAAGCGAUCGCAGGCGGUUUCGUAAGUCUGAUGUGAAAGCCCCGGGCUUAACCGGGGAGGGUCAUUGGAAACUGGGAGACUAGAGUGCAGAAGAGGCGAGUGGAAUUCCAUGUGUAGCGGUGAAAUGCGUAGAUAUAUGGAGGAACACCAGUGGCGAAGGCGGCUCUCUGGUCUGUAACUGACGCUGAGGCUCGAAAGCGUGGGGAGCAAAAAGG